AAUUAGCUUUUUAAUUGAGGGAUAGAAUGAAUGGUUUCACUAAAAAAUCAUAUUUAAGAAAUAUUUAUAGAAAUUUUAUUUUUGAUGAAAAUAUCAAAAAAAAUUUAUAAGACAAAAAGACCCUAUGAAGCUAUCAAUUAAAAUAAAAUUGAUUUUUUGGGGUAAAAUUUAAAAUUUUUAUUUAUUUUAUAAGCUUUAAUUGAUCCUUUUUGGAAGAAUGAACAAGCUCCUCUAGGGAUAACAGCAUAAUAAUUAAAAAAGUUCUUAUUAGAAUAAUUGU
Molecule: ribosomal RNA, 280 nt
Filed under: Scottocalanus securifrons
Lineage: Eukaryota; Metazoa; Arthropoda; Copepoda; Calanoida; Scolecitrichidae
Description: partial 16S rRNA
Source: RNAcentral